This 627-nucleotide long non-coding RNA is filed under the name Coccomyxa subellipsoidea. Its description in RNAcentral is "long non-coding RNA (CSUB_LNC000312)". Lineage: Eukaryota; Viridiplantae; Chlorophyta; Trebouxiophyceae; Coccomyxaceae. The record is from RNAcentral.
CUUUUAGCGUUGCAACUUCAGGCCAGAACCGUUCUCAGAGCCAUCAUCACGAUCUGAGCAGCAGCUCCUACUGCUGGUGUGCUGCCGACAGCAAUCACAGGCACAAAGACUGGAGCAACCUGGCCCUCAGCUGCGCCGCAUCCUGCAAAGGCUGAACACACAACUUCUCUUGUUGCCUCCUCCGUCAGCAGGUCUGGGCAGAAGUACACGCGCACGACCAUCAGGUCAUCGAGACACAGCUGAGCUUCGCUGAGAGUCGCAGAGAUGCCCUCGGCGGCAGUGCGGCCGGCAGACUCACAGUCCCCAGCAAGCAGGCUUGUGCUUGGGGGUAUCGACAGCUGGUAGAGGCAGAAGCGCUCGGGACAGAUGAGCGCCUCACAGUGGGCUGCAGCGUCUGCAUGAUCCCCUGAUGUCUCACUGGAGCCAUGUGGAUCUGUCCAAGAGAUGUUGUGCAGCCCUUCCGUGAGCUCUGUAAUGCCACAAGCACAAACAGUCAGUUGCUACACAAUCUAUGCAGGAGUGAGAGCGGUUCAAGUGCUUUGGAAGCAAUAAAGGGAGCAUGUGGUGUGCCACCGAUUAUAUGAGCUUUCCAUGGGUGUCUCGGCUCACUUUGCACGCUGGCUGGAU